Arachis ipaensis is the source of this 311-nucleotide non-coding RNA. The record is from RefSeq and is a predicted model, not a curated record. NCBI's taxonomy places the organism in Eukaryota, Viridiplantae, Streptophyta, Magnoliopsida, Fabales, Fabaceae.
UACCGUCAUAAACCUGCCGUCAAUGCUCCCUUUGCCGCCGCUCCCUUCCGUCGCUUCAACCCCCAACUCCUUCCGUGCCGCUCCCUUCCUGCUUAGCUUUGAAAGAAACUAGACUCUCCAGGCAUUCAUCGAUCUUAGCUUCUUACUUCUUUGAACUGCAGGAUAGUUGAAGAGUACAUGCGUGGACUUACUGCACUUUUGGUACCUUCCAAAUACAGAUUCAACCAAAUGUACCUGCUGAUGAAGAACGCAUCACAGGGUAGGUACAAUGUCUUUUGGAAACCCUGUUAUGUUUAUUGGAUUUGAAGAAA